GCCUUUGGUGUAAUGGUCAGCACACUCGGCGCUAUUCGAGAGGUCCGUGGUUCGAGUCCCGGCGAGGGCA
Molecule: transfer RNA, 70 nt
Filed under: Stegodyphus mimosarum
Lineage: Eukaryota; Metazoa; Arthropoda; Arachnida; Araneae; Eresidae
Rfam family: tRNA
About the family: Transfer RNA (tRNA) molecules are approximately 80 nucleotides in length. Their secondary structure includes four short double-helical elements and three loops (D, anti-codon, and T loops).
Source: Rfam by way of RNAcentral